Nicotiana attenuata is the source of this 558-nucleotide long non-coding RNA. RefSeq lists it as uncharacterized. The record is from RefSeq and is a predicted model, not a curated record. The transcript is spliced from 2 exons. Lineage: Eukaryota; Viridiplantae; Streptophyta; Magnoliopsida; Solanales; Solanaceae.
ACAAACAAAAACUUCAAGUAGGCCUGAAGUACUAAAGUCUUACUAUAUAUGGCGAUGCUUAAACUUGGUUUGGUUCUCACUAUUCUUCUCGUGGCAACUACAUUCAAUAUGGUGUGGUUCUCAAACACACAUGUGGAUGCUGCACGAAAUGCUGAUAUGGAUAUCUCAGGACUCGAGAGAAGACUACUGCCACAACUUAACUCCUGGGUUACCUGUAACAACAAAUGCAUCGUAAAUAGUGAUUGUCAUGGUUGCUGGUUUUGCUGCACAUGUACAACUUGGAAGUUAUGUGGGUAUAUUGCUUGAAAGUAGUAAAUUACUGAUCAAUUGCAACGAACUCUGCCAAAUCCUUGCUAUGUAUCUGCGUUUUCCGUGUGGUUCGAUCACUGUUUUUAUUAUGUUUUGUUUCAUGCUUUGUAUAAAUAAUGAAGGAAGUCAAGUGAAUGGCUUUCUCUGUUGCAAGGAAUAAUUACAAUGUAUUCAACUUGUUUGGAUGGUUAUUAUGUAUCAUUUUAUAAUGUAUCAUAUAGUAUUGUAAGAUUAUAUUGUUUACCGUUA